CGCAAGCCUGAUGCAGCCAUGCCGCGUGUGUGAAGAAGGCCUUCGGGUUGUAAAGCACUUUCAGUCGUGAGGAAGGUAGUGUAGUUAAUAGCUGCAUUAUUUGACGUUAGCGACAGAAGAAGCACCGGCUAACUCCGUGCCAGCAGCCGCGGUAAUACGGAGGGUGCGAGCGUUAAUCGGAAUUACUGGGCGUAAAGCGCAUGCAGGUGGUUUGUUAAGUCAGAUGUGAAAGCCCGGGGCUCAACCUCGGAAUUGCAUUUGAAACUGGCAGACUAGAGUACUGUAGAGGGGGUAGAAUUUCAGGUGUAGCGGUGAAAUGCGUAGAGAUCUGAAGGAAUACCGGUGGCGAAGGCGGCCCCCUGGACAGAUACUGACACUCAGAUGCGAAAGCGUGGGGAGCAAACAGGAUUAGAUACCCUGGUAG
RNAcentral lists this ribosomal RNA (424 nucleotides) under uncultured bacterium. RNAcentral describes it as "bacterial SSU rRNA". It matches the Rfam family "Bacterial small subunit ribosomal RNA", at positions 376 to 793 of the family's 1533-position model. The record is from RNAcentral.